UACGAAGGGGGCUAGCGUUGCUCGGAAUCACUGGGCGUAAAGCGCACGUAGGCGGAUCUUUAAGUCAGGGGUGAAAUCCUGGAGCUCAACUCCAGAACUGCCUUUGAUACUGGCGAUCUUGGAGUCCGGGAGAGGUGAGUGGAACUCCGAGUGUAGAGGUGAAAUUCGUAGAUAUUCGGAAGAACACCAGUGGCGAAGGCGGUUCUCUGGGCCUUACCUGACACUGAGGAGCGAAAGCGUGGGGAGCGAACAGG
RNAcentral lists this ribosomal RNA (254 nucleotides) under uncultured bacterium. RNAcentral's name for it is "partial 16S ribosomal RNA". It matches the Rfam family "Bacterial small subunit ribosomal RNA", at positions 524 to 776 of the family's 1533-position model. The record is from RNAcentral.